GUUUAGGGUUUUAGAGUGAGUGAGAGUGAUAAGUGUGUGAAAUGUGAGAAAAGUGUUUAUAUACUCUAAGUGAAACACAUGCAAAACGACACAUAAAAUUGCGUUAGCACAACGCUCAAGUAAGCAAGUGAGUGAGAGUGAUAAGUGUGUGAAAUGUGAGAAAAGUGUUUAUAUACUCUAAGUGAAACACAUGCAAAACGACACAUAAAAUUGCGUUAGCACAACGCUCAAGUAAGCACGCUUGGGGGGAAAAA
Molecule: long non-coding RNA, 254 nt
Filed under: Lathyrus oleraceus (garden pea)
Lineage: Eukaryota; Viridiplantae; Streptophyta; Magnoliopsida; Fabales; Fabaceae
Description: Pisum sativum (pea) long non-coding RNA (PSAT_LNC016921)
Source: RNAcentral